This 253-nucleotide ribosomal RNA is filed under the name uncultured bacterium. RNAcentral's name for it is "partial 16S ribosomal RNA". It matches the Rfam family "Bacterial small subunit ribosomal RNA", at positions 524 to 776 of the family's 1533-position model. The record is from RNAcentral.
UACGGGGGGGGCAAGCGUUGUUCGGAAUUACUGGGCGUAAAGGGCGCGUAGGCGGCCUGUUAAGUCGAACGUGAAAUCCCCGGGCUCAACCCGGGAACUGCGUCCGAUACUGGCAGGCUUGAAUUCGGGAGAGGGAUGCGGAAUUCCAGGUGUAGCGGUGAAAUGCGUAGAUAUCUGGAGGAAUACCGGUGGCGAAGGCGGCAUCCUGGACCGGCAUUGACGCUGAGGAGCGAAAGCCAGGGGAGCAAACGGG